GCGAGUAUAACUCUCUAAAACCAUUGUGAACGAACGAACCCGUUGCUUCGGCGGACGGCUCCUGCUGCCGCCGGAAGAACACAAACUCUUGUUAUUAUUGUUUCUCUGAGUACUUAUUCAAUAAGUAA
Molecule: unclassified non-coding RNA, 128 nt
Filed under: soil metagenome
Description: partial internal transcribed spacer 1
Source: RNAcentral